This 642-nucleotide ribosomal RNA is filed under the name Sebacina sp. AA3.8. RNAcentral describes it as "eukaryotic LSU rRNA". The stretch from base 233 to 386 matches the Rfam family "5.8S ribosomal RNA". The record is from RNAcentral. Lineage: Eukaryota; Fungi; Basidiomycota; Agaricomycetes; Sebacinales; Sebacinaceae.
UCUUGGUCAUUUAGAGGAAGUAAAAGUCGUAACAAGGUUUCCGUAGGUGAACCUGCGGAAGGAUCAUUAACGAGUUCAAAAGUCGGUCGACCGUGCUGGCGGAGACGCAUGUGCACGUCGGUCGCGAACCAUCCACACACCGUGAACCUAUGGCCUGGGGCUUGAGUUCAGACCCUGGGCACCAUUUUUACACUCUGUUUGUAAAGGAAUGUCUUAUAUCAUAUAAACAUACAACUUUCAACAACGGAUCUCUUGGCUCUCGCAUCGAUGAAGAACGCAGCGAAAUGCGAUAAGUAAUGUGAAUUGCAGAAUUCAGUGAAUCAUCGAAUCUUUGAACGCACCUUGCACCCUUUGGUAUUCCGAAGGGUACGCCCGUUUGAGUGUCAUUGUAAUCUCACCCCGAAAUCUUUUUUUGGAGUGGACUUGGACGCUGCCGUGUUGCAUGGCUCGUCUCGAACGUCUUAGUAUGCCCUGCCCGUCGGUGUAGACAGCGUGAUAAGUAUCUUCGCUGGUCAAGCCUCUCCGGAGGCGCACCUCGAGCAUGGAAGCCUGCUGCCAACCGUCUUUUGACAACCUUUGACAAUUUGACCUCAGAUCGGGUGGGACUACCCGCUGAACUUAAGCAUAUCAAUAAGCGGAGGA